UGGGGAAUUUUGGACAAUGGGCGAAANCCUGAUCCAGCAAUGCCGCGUGUGUGAAGAAGGCCUUCGGGUUGUAAAGCACUUUUGUCCGGAAAGAAAUCCUUGGCUCUAAUACAGUCGGGGGAUGACGGUACCGGAAGAAUAAGCACCGGCUAACUACGUGCAGCAGCCGCGGUAAUACGUAGGGUGCAAGCGUUAAUCGGAAUUACUGGGCGUAAAGCGUGCGCAGGCGGUUUGCUAAGACCGAUGUGAAAUCCCCGGGCUCAACCUGGGAACUGCAUUGGUGACUGGCAGGCUAGAGUAUGGCAGAGGGGGGUAGAAUUCCACGUGUAGCAGUGAAAUGCGUAGAGAUGUGGAGGAAUACCGAUGGCGAAGGCAGCCCCCUGGGCCAAUACUGACGCUCAUGCACGAAAGCGU
RNAcentral lists this ribosomal RNA (414 nucleotides) under uncultured bacterium. RNAcentral's name for it is "partial 16S ribosomal RNA". It matches the Rfam family "Bacterial small subunit ribosomal RNA", at positions 355 to 762 of the family's 1533-position model. The record is from RNAcentral.